Molecule: non-coding RNA, 28 nt
Filed under: Rattus norvegicus (Norway rat)
Lineage: Eukaryota; Metazoa; Chordata; Mammalia; Rodentia; Muridae
Source: RNAcentral
UUGGUUCCCAUCAACCAUUUCCUGAAGC